UACGUAGGGUGCAAGCGUUAAUCGGAAUUACUGGGCGUAAAGCGUGCGCAGGCGGUGAUGUAAGACAGAUGUGAAAUCCCCGGGCUCAACCUGGGAACUGCAUUUGUGACUGCAUCGCUGGAGUGCGGAAGAGGGGGAUGGAAUUCCGCGUGUAGCAGUGAAAUGCGUAGAUAUGCGGAGGAACACCGAUGGCGAAGGCAAUCCCCUGGGCCUGCACUGACGCUCAUGCGCGAAAGCGUGGGGAGCAAACAGG
RNAcentral lists this ribosomal RNA (253 nucleotides) under uncultured bacterium. RNAcentral's name for it is "partial 16S ribosomal RNA". It matches the Rfam family "Bacterial small subunit ribosomal RNA", at positions 524 to 776 of the family's 1533-position model. The record is from RNAcentral.